GUCUAUGGCCAUGCCACCCUGAACAAGCCUGAUGUCUGAUCUCAGAUGCUAAGCAGGGUCAGGCCUGGUUAGUACUUGGAUAGGAGACCACCUAGGAAGAUCAGGUGCUGUAGGCA
RNAcentral lists this ribosomal RNA (116 nucleotides) under Pteropus alecto (black flying fox). Lineage: Eukaryota; Metazoa; Chordata; Mammalia; Chiroptera; Pteropodidae. The record is from RNAcentral.